RNAcentral lists this small RNA (1057 nucleotides) under Vigna angularis var. angularis. Its description in RNAcentral is "Non-protein coding transcript". The record is from RNAcentral. Lineage: Eukaryota; Viridiplantae; Streptophyta; Magnoliopsida; Fabales; Fabaceae.
UGAAGUUGCGUGAGAAUGGAGAGAUACGUUGUCGUUCGUGUGUCUCCACCCACAACAAAUCUAACUCGUGGAUGAAUGGUUGUUGAGUAAAAAGCAUAAUAAUUCAUCACUUACGCCACAGCGUCUAAAUUCAAAUAUCAUUUCAUUCAAUCCAUCUAUAAAUAGUACACUGCAAAGCUAUCACCAGCCACAGCCACCAAUUCAAAACAUGAGGUAUAUGCCAUUAUUAUAUAUCUCUUUAAUUUCUAAUCACUUCCUUUAUUUUUGUGCCUUUCAGUCUCUGCAGAAUCAUGUGAUACGCCAUGGUGAUCCAUUCUAGUGUAUCAAACCACUUACAUAGGUUUUGGUUUAAUGAUGAAAUGAUUAUCAGUAACCUGUUCACUCUCUUAUUUUCAUUCAUCACAGUUUUUCUUGUUCGCUCCUUUGUCAGGAUAUUGUAAGCAUAUAUUUUGAUAUGUUUAUUCUGUAUCGGUAAGAAACUUACUAUCAUCAUGAUUUUCAUCUUUUUGCUGAUAUAUUAUAAUUUAAUAGCAUCACCAAACACUGGUAAUGGAUGGUUUGAUACAUUAGUAUGGAUCACUUUUGCGAGUCACGUUAAUUAGAACAAGUAUGGUGUUCUUGGUGAUCGAUCACUUUGGCGAUUGGCCGGUGCGACAAAAGAUAACCUAAAAUUUGUACGGAGUCAUCCUCGGGUUGGCUAUUAUAUUGUUGCACCUGCUAAGGUUGUGGCCUUAGACGGAAGAAGGGACGUUGUAGCUGUUGUGAGUUCAAGGACAGCAAAACUAUAUAGUCUCUCUACAUUCUUCUGUUAACAAACAAAAUUAUUGAAAGUUCUUAUAUUAUAUUGCUAUCAAAAUUUAUAUCAAUAAAAUAUUACUCAUAUACUUUAUUAUAGGAAUUUAAUAUUGGAAGUGGUGUCUCAUCUUUAAUUGUUACAAGAGAAUCAGAUGAAGGAAGCACAACAUAUUAACUGUGUUUUUUUUAUAUAUUUUAAUGUAAAAUCUGAACUAUCAAUUCUUUGUAUUUUUCUUUAUAUUUUCAUUAUAAUUGUGAGCAA